This 301-nucleotide ribosomal RNA is filed under the name uncultured bacterium. RNAcentral's name for it is "partial 16S ribosomal RNA". It matches the Rfam family "Bacterial small subunit ribosomal RNA", at positions 509 to 809 of the family's 1533-position model. The record is from RNAcentral.
CAGCAGCCACGGUAACACGUAGGUGGCAAGCGUUGUCCGGAAAUAUUGGGCGUAAAGCGCGCGCAGGCGGAUAGGUCAGUCUGUCUUAAAAGUUCGGGGCUUAACCCCGUGAUGAGAUGGAAACUGCCAAUCUAGAGUAUCGGAGAGGAAAGUGGAAUUCCUAGUGUAGCGGUGAAAUGCGUAGAUAUUAGGAAGAACACCAGUGGCGAAGGCGGCUUUCUGGACUGUAACUGACGCUGAGGCUCGAAAGCCAGGGGAGCGAACGGGAUUAGAUACCCGCGUAGUCCCUGUCUCUUAUACA